Long non-coding RNA from Gallus gallus (chicken), 5009 nucleotides. RefSeq lists it as uncharacterized. The record is from RefSeq and is a predicted model, not a curated record. The transcript is spliced from 3 exons. Lineage: Eukaryota; Metazoa; Chordata; Aves; Galliformes; Phasianidae.
GGGUCUUCUGGCUGUGUGCUGUGUUUUGAAGGGGAAUGUUCAGGAGCUGGAGACCAUAUUAUCAGUUAGUCUGAUGUUUGGUUGCUACCUUCCUGCGUAUGCUGUGGCAGAACUGUGGGUCAGCUUACAAAAUGCUCUGAAAUCCUACAGAAGCACUAUGCACAUCCCCUGUAAGGAGGAAAUUCAUAAAGGAAAAAUGCUGUGAAUUGAGCUGCACAAAUCUGAAACAGCCGACUCGCAACAAAUUCUCCAUCUGUUUUAAAGGAAUUCACUAAAACCAUCUUUACUUCCCCUCUUUGAAUGAAGAAGUGCCCUCAUGACUGCAGAGACAUUGUACAAAGGACAUCCAGGUCAAUGAAUGCCUUUGCUUUGGCUUCAGUGGGCUUUCAGUCAGGUCACAUUGAGAGUUGCAGCGUGCAAGGAGCUGACAUUUUUCAGGAAUGCAUCUCUACAGCUUCAUUUUGAAGAGUCAUUAGUUGUAUGCCUUUGCUUAGAUGGAGCUGUAACUUGCCAUCCCUACUCUUUAUAGAUGCAAUUUUAAAAUGUAUUUUUGGGUAGAUUUCUGGGAACUGAGAGAAACAUACAGCAACACAAAUGGAGGGAGGUAAUGUACUUCUGAGAGCAUGCAAAGGGUUCUGAAAAAUACUCACUUUGUCUUAAUAUUUAAUAAUAAACCCAGUCUUCUACAGAACAUUUUUAGGAUCUUGAGUUUAUAUGUGGUUAAUUCUGGUGUUUUCAGACUUCUAAGUGGCAAAAAUGUAAAAACUCCCAGUUGAUAAAUCAUGCUACCAAUCAAGAUACGAAAUGCAAUUUACAGCUCCCAAAUUAAGUAAUUUUACAUAUUUUUCACCAUAGAGGAAAAUGUGAGUUAAAUUAAGCUUUUCUUUGCAGCCAAGACUCUAUUCUUACAUCUUUUUUUAAAAAGUAAGCCAACAUAGUCAUAUCAUUAGCUCAGAUGGCGGCUUUAAGAAACACUAAAAAUUGCAAGACUCAGAAUGAAAUAAUGAAAUCUGACAGCAGCACAGUUUAUUUGUGAGAUUAUAAGUCUCUCAUUCAAACGCAUGUUACACAAUCUUCUAUAAAUACUGUUUCCCUUGUUGCUGUCGUUGUCAGAUUUUGCUUUUCAGAUAGUCUCUUCUUCUAGUGUUCUGCUCUCGAAGGAUAGGGUGGAGAAUUGCCUUUACAUAACUCGUACACACUAGCAGUAAGUUCGCCCGUAUUUCAGAUUGAGGGAAGCUACGUACCUGAAGUGCAGAACUGGGAUACCUCUUAUACAUUUGUUUUAGAUACUCCUAAGUAGCUCACAUAAUGUGUAGGGAAAAGAGAUGACUGUUCUUUUCCUUUAUAUCAUUUUUUUAGGUUCCUCCUCUCCUGCUCCCUCUGAUGUAAGGAUCAAGAUAAUUUAGGGUGAUGACCCAUCACUCAGUUCAGACAUUCCACUUCUGCCAUUUCUCAUUGCUGCCAUUUUUGAUUAAUCCCUUCUCAAAGUCAUAUGCAAUGUCCUUGCAGGUAUGACUGCUGGAACCUCUCUCCAUGCUCAGUCCAUUCAGCUGUGCAGCUGACAAGUUCACUAAAAACUAAUCCUAGAAAAUCUUUGACCUAAUAUUGUGUACUUUGAUAGACACUGGGUAGGGUAAUGACAAAAAAAGCCUGCAAAAAGACCUCACCACAUUUAUCUUUGUAUGGAUACAUCUAGACCAGCAAAUGAAAUAUGCUGGGACAGUUUUCUGGCAUUGAGGUUAGCAGACCCAAGUCACGUAUGCUUGUGGCUUUAGGUCAAAAUCAGGGUAGCCACGUGUUAACUGGCAUGUGGAUUUGGUGCAGAGAUGGACUACUACAAAGGAUGGGUGCCAGGCAUGGCUGGGAGAGGAUAGGUAGAAAGCACAGGUCAGAGCCAUGCUGGAAACCUGACCACUUCUUUAGCAGCACUACAUUGGGUUCCACUGUCCAUUCCCCAUCAUGGACAUAUCCCCCAUCAGGUUAGUUAAUUGCUGCCAGUCGUUGCUUGUCUCUAGGUGCAUCUUCUCAUUGCUUCCCUCUGACCAUGUAGCAGAUAGGCAGAAAAGGCAAGUGAUGAGAGAACAGUCAUGUGUCUCCUUUGCCUCUGAACACAGCAUGCUGCAUAUAUACUGCCCCACUGGCUCUCAGUCCUAGAUUGGUUCCUUCAUGUUUUAGCCAUGACUUAUGCCUGGAUACCAGGUUUGCUUUUAAAGCAUUUGCUUUAUUUCAUUUAUUCUGCACAUAAUUGAUAUAUGUACAUUGAUUUGAGGAAUUGACUUAAUGACGGGGAAGAGGAAUUCUGCUUUCCUUUUAAGCAGGGGAAUGUUUGAUGGACUGGCUAUGUCAGGCCAGAGAAGUGUGCAUUUACCACAGGGGGUUAUUGAUUCUCCUGGGGUGCCCCAGCUAACAAUGGUGUCUUUAAAAGAUGAAAAUGCUUUGGGUUUAAGAUGGGAUAUGAGCCAGGAAGAGAAUCAUGCAUGACAUUCUCAAAGACACAGAAUGGUAAGGUAUUUUCUCAUGUAAUACACAUACUAUGUAACAGAAGCAUGUGUGCCUUUCUGCCUGAAGAGUCAUGGCAUAGCACUCUGGUUAAUUUGAGCUGCAGGAGGAGUUCUUACAAUGUAAGACUGCAAGAGAGACAGUAACCUGGGAAAAAGACCCACAGAGUUCUUGGUGAUUUUUGAUCACAUCUUGAUUUCCUUUUCAUUUCAUGAACUCCCAGAAGAGACAUCCCCUUUCUGUAAGCAUGCUAAUGCGAAGUAGAUGGACAAAAUGGUGGAGAAUUCAAACUGACGGAGAAAUAAUUUAAUUAAUGAAAAUAAUUGAUUUUAGCAGACAAGAUGUGAAUGUGUGUGAAUGUGCAGGUACAAAUGCGUAUGUGUAUGUAUCUGAAUAUUUACAAGUAUAUAUAAAUAAGUCUUUAAAUGUAAAUGCAUAUAUAAAAUAGAUGAACAUACAGAAUUGGGAGAAUUGUGUAUUUGUAAGUGCAUGCAUGUGUAUGCAUGUGUGCUUGGAUCAUUCAAGAAGGAAACAAAUUCCACCAUAUGGUUUAGGUAUUCACCUAUGUAACUCAACUGGAUAAACUUCUAGAAUAGAGCUGGUGAUAAAAUCCUUCAACUGCUCACAACCACCAGAUGCUAAUUAUGAGAGUCUAUUUUACAUGAAUUACAGCUGAAUAAUGCAGAAGGAUUUUUCAACCCAGGGAAAGGUUUGUAAAUUUGCUACCUUGCAAUGAAGUCUACUUACCGAUUGUAUCAAUUUAUGUGUAAAUAAAAAGAAAGGCUUAACCACCUGGCUCUGAGUCAUACUAAAAAUGAAUGUGGUAUCACAAAGCACAGUUAUAAGAAAUACAGAAAUGAUUUAGCAAAACAGAACUUUGGAUGUUGUGUUGAGGGACAUGGUUUAGCGAGAACCAUUGGUGAAGGGUGAAUGGUUGGACUGGAUGAUCCUGUGGGUCUUUUCCAACCUUAGUGAUUAUACGAUUCUAUAAAACAAACAAACACCUCCCCCCCCCCCCAAAAAAAAAACAGGAAAAGAACAGAGGAGCAUAAAGACAAGACAAUAUGAGGGACUACACUUCAAUAAUUAUGAAUUGCUAGCUCUUGACAUAUCAACAUUGUAAUUCCAUAAAUUUACCUCAUAAGUUUAUCAUUGGAUGAAACAUUUGAUCUAAGCAUAAGAUUUUCAAGAUUUGUGGCUAUAUAUUGCCUACUUCCCAUCCAGUUUGACAAAAAUAGUGAGGAGAAUAUUGGAAUAUUGCACCUCAAUGCUGGUUUCAUUCAUAAUAGCAUAAAUUAUAUUUUUGACAGUGCUUGUGAUUCUUCAUUUUUAUAUUAACUUUGGCUUUCUAUGUGCUGGUGACAUUGUUUAGAAUGUUCAUUCUUGAAUGCACGUCUUCUCCAAUCAGAUGCCAUAUUUACUGCAUUAUACACUGUGUUCCAUUUUACUGUUCAAAAUAACCCCUGUAACUGAUGUCUUUACUGGAAAAACUUUUCUCCUUGAUGUGCAAAGCUGCAUCUGUUUGUGCUUCAGUAGUUUGGUAUAUGAAAAGAAGAUAAAGCUAUAUUUUCAGUAUUCUUGAAUAAUGUUACUCCUUUCUUGAUCUUAGACUUUCAAGCACAGUUGGUUUUCUUUUUGUUAUAAUAGUGGAGGCAUCACAUCUUUAAAUUACAUUCUGCAAAACUGCAGAAAAAAAAAGACUUUAUUUUGGGGAAUGGAAAUCGUGAAAGGUGUACUUUAUGGAUAGAAAUGUUACACAUGCAUUUCAGGUAGUUUUCAGGAAUCAUGGCAGGAACGGACAGUAAUUAUAAUGUGCAUUUCAGUGCUUUUCAGGGAUUUUUUUUUAACUUUCACGUUUUCUGUGUUUUUGACAUUAAUUGUCAUUUGAGCAUACUGAUGACAUCUUUCCCCUUAGUUACAGAUGUGUAUUAGAUGUUUAGCUGAUGGAUAGGUUUUGCCUUCAUGUGGAGUAGAGAAGACAGACAAAUAUACGAUAACUUUCCAAAUUGUCUUAUUUUAUACGCAAGUUGAAUUCAGUGUUAGUCAGCGUUUAGUGUCAUUGGAAGCAAUCAGCUGAGUUAGUGCUUUCACUCUGGUCUAAGAAAGAAAAAAAAAAAGGAAAAAAACCUCCUUUAUUUUGUUGACAACAAGCCAUACAUGGCCUUCUUGAAAAAGAAACUGGUUUCCAGCAAUUUGAAACUGAAGUGCCAUUUCACUAAAGGCUGGUUGAAGUAGACAACUUCAUUUUGUAGAAUUGCCAUUCAGAUCACUUCCAUCAAGGGUAAAUUCCCUCUAAACAAACACCUGCCAACACAGACAUAUUUUCACUACAGACUUAACACUUUGAGGCUUCUCCCUUAGAGCAGAGGCGGGGUGCCACACCACAACAUGUAGUUAUGGAAAAGGUUGGUUGCUCAGGUCUAGGUUUUUCUUGCCUGAAGUUUGACUGAGGAGUUCAUGCUGGAUGUGUGUUUGUCAUUGGCUUCAAGAGAGACCACGGAGGGUUCCCC